Molecule: ribosomal RNA, 253 nt
Filed under: uncultured bacterium
Lineage: Bacteria
Description: partial 16S ribosomal RNA
Rfam family: Bacterial small subunit ribosomal RNA
Source: RNAcentral
UACGGGGGGGGCAAGCGUUGUUCGGAAUCAUUGGGCGUAAAGGGUGCGUAGGCGGUGCGGUAAGUCUGGUGUGAAAUCCCCGAGCUUAACUCGGGUCCCGCGCCAGAGACUGCCGUGCUCGAGUGUGGGAGAGGAAAGUGGAAUUCCCGGUGUAGCGGUGAAAUGCGUAGAUAUCAGGAGGAACACCGAUGGCGAAGGCAGGUCUCUGGGCCAUUACUGACACUGAGAAGCGAAAGCAUGGGGAGCGAACAGG